CAUUAUAACAGUUCCCCAGUUGACCAUCUCGGGAGUGGAUGGGAGUGUCCAGAGUCGUAAAAAUUAUGGAAACCGAAUGCGAAUCCCGGGCACUUGAUGGCGGCGCAUGGCGGCCAUUCGAAUGGAUCAACGAACCCGAAAAUAACAGAUGCAGAUAUGCAGCGAUAAGGUCGAACAAUUAUCAAUUGCGAUUGCUUCAUUCGAAUCGCAAUGGAGCCUCCGUUUUGGGGCUGUUUCUCCCGCCUCCAACUCGUCAAACUGGUUACCUGAUGCAACUUGGCCUGCCGCUGGGCAUAAAUUGCAAUUUACGGUAAGCGGCUCGGCUUUGGCUAAAUAAUUCCCUAUCGCCGGAGGGAAGGAACGGGUUUCGGCAGCCAUAAAUCCUCGUCGAUGUCUCCAUUUUCGUGUACAUCCAUUGGGCGGCCAUUACAACCACAAUUGACACAGUGAUUUACGGCAAUAAAAAUUAUUCACCUGCACAACCAGCCAACACACACAUGCGAAUCGGAGGACAACACACCUGGGGAGGAGGCGAAGUGGAGGAGUUGGGACCGCAGGCGACGCUUUGUCAUAAAAAAUAAAACGAAAUUGUCGUCAUUUUUAUGACUCCCUACCGUGGGCCCGGUUAAGAUUGAGAUUCCAGCUUUUCGGGCAGUGGGAAGUCGUAUUUUAGGCAGCUCCUUAAAAAGUCACUUGAACGGAAAACGCAAUGUAAGCCCAUACCCAUUGGUGACUAAGGAAAUACAGAAGCCGGUGAACGGUAAAGCUUCUGGGGCUUUGUGGACUUUUCUUUUAAUGAGCUGUCAGAAUUAUCAUAAAGCAAUUAAACGCAUUUCACACUCAUAACCGUAGGCAAGUAUUCAAUCCACACGCACUGCCACGCCCCCAAAAACGAUUCGACCGCCCCUCCGGCGAGCCGUGUCUUUGCCACUGACACUAAUUGGUUGCUUUAUGGCCCAGUUAAAUCGUAAAACUCAAAUUUUAUGCUUUGUCACUGAAACGAUUAUGACGUCCGUUGCUCGUCCUCGUCGUCGUCCUCCCAAGAUCCCUCGAUUCUGCCGUCAAUCCGGGAAUCCCGUCAAGUGGCUUCAUCUCCGGCGUUCGUUGCCAUAAUGCCCCUUGAUUUAUGUCUCUGCCCGAGUUAUUUGCGCCAAUUUACAGAUUGAUUUCGGUCUUAAGAUUUUACUGUCCCCUGUUUAUUCAUCGCCUUUUGCACCUACUUAAUUUGCCUCUGCUUCUGGACCUAUGCUUUAUUGCUGUUACCAAGUUGUGGAAUCACUGGGUACCAAAUCUUUCGUAUUUUUUCGUCGGGCUAAAACAAAACCAGUUUGCAUUUCAGGGUAUGGACCGAUUUGAACCCAUCAAAAUUAAGGAGCGUAUUAAAAUUUCAGAUAAACAAAUCCUGAAAUGUAUUUAUUAAUUAUUAAUUUAACUUAAUUUAUGCUUUGCAAAUAAAUAAAAGUAAUGUGACUUUAAGCACAGCUUAA
Drosophila mauritiana is the source of this 1487-nucleotide long non-coding RNA. RefSeq lists it as uncharacterized. Lineage: Eukaryota; Metazoa; Arthropoda; Insecta; Diptera; Drosophilidae. The record is from RefSeq and is a predicted model, not a curated record. The transcript has 2 exons.